UUCCUACGGGACGCAGCAGUGAGGAAUAUUGGUCAAUGGGCGCGAGCCUGAACCAGCCAAGUCGCGUGAGGGAAGACGGUCCUAUGGAUUGUAAACCUCUUUUGUCGGGGAGCAAAAGACGCCACGCGUGGCGUUCCGAGAGUACCCGAAGAAAAAGCAUCGGCUAACUCCGUGCCAGCAGCCGCGGUAAUACGGAGGAUGCGAGCGUUAUCCGGAUUUAUUGGGUUUAAAGGGUGCGUGGGUGGUUAAUUAAGUCAGCGGUGAAAGUUUGUGGCUCAACCAUAAAAUUGCCGUUGAAACUGGUU
Molecule: ribosomal RNA, 305 nt
Filed under: uncultured bacterium
Lineage: Bacteria
Description: bacterial SSU rRNA
Rfam family: Bacterial small subunit ribosomal RNA
Source: RNAcentral